This is a microRNA precursor of Aotus nancymaae (Ma's night monkey), 94 nucleotides long. Lineage: Eukaryota; Metazoa; Chordata; Mammalia; Primates; Aotidae. The record is from Ensembl.
GUUCUGUUAUUUGCAGUCAGUAACAAAGGUUCAUCCUUGUGUCCAUCAUGCAGCAAGGAGAAUCUUUGUCACUUAGUGUAAUUAAUAGCUGGAC